This 21-nucleotide non-coding RNA is filed under the name Arabidopsis thaliana (thale cress). The record is from RNAcentral. Lineage: Eukaryota; Viridiplantae; Streptophyta; Magnoliopsida; Brassicales; Brassicaceae.
ACGGAAAGGGUGCUCCAUGAC